GAUGAAGAACGCAGCGAAAUGCGAUAAGUAAUGUGAAUUGCAAAAUUCAGUGAAUCAUCGAAUCUUUGAACGCAUCUUGCGCUCCUUGGUAUUCUGAGGAGCAUGCCUGUUUGAGUGUCAUUAAAUUCUCAACUACACUGACUUUGAAUUGGUGUGGCUUGGAUUUGGGGGGAAAAUUGUUGUGGGCUUUUUGUAUAGUCUGCUCCCCUGAAAUUGAUUAGCGGUACCUUUGUGGAACUGUCUACAGGUGUGAUAAUUAUCUACAUCUUAGACAUCUGCUGGAAUGCUGCUUUCUAAACCUUACUUGUAUUGACAAUCUUGACCUCAAAUCAGGUAGGACUACCCGCUGAACUUAAGCAUAUCAAUAAGCGGAGGA
This 376-nucleotide unclassified non-coding RNA is filed under the name soil metagenome. Its description in RNAcentral is "partial contains 5.8S ribosomal RNA, internal transcribed spacer 2, and large subunit ribosomal RNA". The stretch from base 1 to 120 matches the Rfam family "5.8S ribosomal RNA", at positions 35 to 154 of the family's 154-position model. The record is from RNAcentral.